UUAACAAAACAAACAAAAUAUUUUUAAAAAAAUGCAAAACAACAUCGGUUUUGGAAGAAUCUAUGUUGUAAGGUGCAUUACAACAUCGAUUUUGGUCAAAAACGAUGUUGUAAGUUGCGACCAAAACUGAUAUUGUUAUGCACCUUACAACAUCGAUUUUUGUUAAAAUCGAUGUUGUGAGGUGCAUAACAACAUCGGUUUUUGUCAAUUUUUUUUUUUGCAAUUUUUUUGUAUAUUUCUUAUUAUACAACAUCGGUUUUCAUAAAAAUUAAUGUUUUAUUGUGUAUUUUAAAAUCGGUUUUGAACCAAUGUUGAAUGUCCAAAAUAACCAAUGUUAAAAGUGUUUUUUCUAGUAGUGCUAAAUUGAAUGGAAUCUAAGGCAACCACCUAAUUUACCUUAUGGUUGCCACAAUGGGAUCAUGCUAAACAAUAGAAGCUAGUUUUAAUUAAGAGAAUCAAGGAGACAGUUGGGAGUAAGCAUGCAGCGAAAGGAACCUACAAUUAAGGUGAACAAGAAAAGAUAGAUAAGUCAGAGAAAGCAUGAGUAAGAUUUUUGGAGUGUAUGCAAAGGCAAUUGACUGCAAGAAAGAAUUCCACCCCAUAUGGCUCUUGAAAAGAGUUGGGUUUCAAAGCAUCUUAGGAUCAAGGUCAAAGCACAAUGUCACCUUUGGCCUAGUCAGACUCAAGGCAGAGAACAAUCAUUCACUAGAGAAAAUUCUAGACUGGCUAAAACUUUUGGCUCGUCCAACCAGAAUCCUUCCAACAAGUAUAACUAAAGCUUUGGCUCAGUCGAAACACAAUGACCAGAUCAAAACUAUCGAGCUGACACUUUGUGGAUAGAAAAAUAAGCAUUAAAAGGGACUUUUGCAAGAGAACAAGGCAUUCUUCUCGGACCUAGGUUUUGGCACAAGUAGGAAUGCUUGGAACUUUCCCAUUCCUCCAUUUUUCACCUUCAUCCCUUCUCCACCAUUUUUGUUGCUCCUCUCACCCAUGAGUGGUUGAGCUCUCCCUUGUUGGGGUUUGAUGCUAAACCCAAACUCAUGUAUAUCUGUUGAGUUAUUAAUAAAUGUUUAUUAUUCA
Glycine soja is the source of this 1080-nucleotide long non-coding RNA. RefSeq lists it as uncharacterized. The record is from RefSeq and is a predicted model, not a curated record. NCBI's taxonomy places the organism in Eukaryota, Viridiplantae, Streptophyta, Magnoliopsida, Fabales, Fabaceae. The transcript is spliced from 2 exons.